UCCCUCGAACAGGAUUUGAACCAGAGACCUAAGGAUCACCGUUGUAACAUCUACAGUCCUCCGCUCUGCCAACUGAGCUAUCGAGGG
This 87-nucleotide transfer RNA is filed under the name Cordylochernes scorpioides. RNAcentral's name for it is "tRNA-Tyr". Lineage: Eukaryota; Metazoa; Arthropoda; Arachnida; Pseudoscorpiones; Chernetidae. The record is from RNAcentral.